This 1021-nucleotide long non-coding RNA is filed under the name Homo sapiens (human). RNAcentral's name for it is "HSALNT0311421". Lineage: Eukaryota; Metazoa; Chordata; Mammalia; Primates; Hominidae. The record is from RNAcentral.
CAGUUUUGAACAUUUUACAUUUAAGAUGCCUGUUGAACAUCCAUCUGGAAAUGGCAAGCUAGCAGUUGGCUCUAUAGGCCUGGAAUUCCAACAGAAAGAGGUCUGGACUAAAGCAGAAUGGUAUCAGAAUGUGGAAUGCUUGAAUGUGGAUUCCGGAAGGGUUGCCAGUUAAUGGUAGUGACCAGGUAUAGGUUAAAAUGAGGAGAGUGAAUCAAGUGUGGAGGACGACAAGAUCACUGGAGGGAAAGCCAAAGAAAUGAGUAGUUUUGGAAGGACCCUCUCUAUGGACUUUGAAAUGACCAAGCACUCGAUAAAGGUGGUGUUGAAGACACUGACAGUGAGCUGGGGAAUGGGAGUGUGAGCGACCUGAUAACCCACAGAUAACUGCCACAGAUCACCUCCAAUGAGAAGCACUUGGAGAGCCUCAAGAAUGCAGGCAGCCUCCUGCGGGCUCUGGAGCGGCUGGCCCCUGGGAGUGGUUCAUUUGCCGACAGUGCGGUGGCUCCCUUGGCCCUGGAAAUCCUCCAAGCCGUUGGGCACUAGGCAAGAAGGUGCUUAGCACAAGCCCGCCCUGUGGCCCCAGCCCUCGGAUGCAUAAGCAAGGUCAGCUCCCAGACACCUUUGCCACAUCCCCUCACAGCUGUCUUUGGACCUAAUAAAGUCAGCUUAACCCAGAACCUGGUGGCCCAAGUGCUCACUAACCCCAGGGCCUAGAAAACUGACUCAGAAUGGACUUCCUUGGUUCCUGUGGAAUGCAUCUGGGAAGCCCAGGUUUGUUAGCUGUUCUCAGAAAUGUUCUUUCCCUCUCUGUGUGGGCCAGGUGGGCUAAGGUUAGCACUGCCUGUGGUAAUAAAGCAGUGGAUGCAAAGCACAGUCCUCAGCCUGCCAGCAUCUGUGAGCAUCUCUCCUCUCCUCAGGGAAGAGCGGAAGGGCGGGACGAGGCAGGAAUGCUCUCCCAACCGCAGCUCCAGAGCAAGCCUUUGGAAGCUAAUCUCUGAGCCUCUUGUCUUCUCCCCUUUUA